UAGCUCAGUUGGUUAGAGCAUUGUUCUGAAACGCCAAUGUUGAGGGUUCGAUCCCCAC
Molecule: transfer RNA, 58 nt
Filed under: Myotis brandtii (Brandt's bat)
Lineage: Eukaryota; Metazoa; Chordata; Mammalia; Chiroptera; Vespertilionidae
Rfam family: tRNA
About the family: Transfer RNA (tRNA) molecules are approximately 80 nucleotides in length. Their secondary structure includes four short double-helical elements and three loops (D, anti-codon, and T loops). Further hydrogen bonds mediate the characteristic L-shaped molecular structure. tRNAs have two regions of fundamental functional importance: the anti-codon, which is responsible for specific mRNA codon recognition, and the 3' end, to which the tRNAs corresponding amino acid is attached (by aminoacyl-tRNA synthetases). tRNAs cope with the degeneracy of the genetic code in two manners: having more than one tRNA (with a specific anti-codon) for a particular amino acid; and 'wobble' base-pairing, i.e. permitting non-standard base-pairing at the 3rd anti-codon position.
Source: Rfam by way of RNAcentral